CCCUUUAUUAAAGAUUUAUUUUAUUUUAUCUUAUUUUAUUUUAGAGAGAGAGAGAGAGAGUAUGAGAGUGGAGAGGUCAGAGGGAGAAGCAGACUCCCCACCGAGCAGGGAGCUGGACGUGGGACUCGAUCCCGGGACUCCAGGAUCAUGACCUGAGCCGAAGGCAGCUGCUUAACCAAAUAAGCCACCCAGGUGCCCUUAAUCUUUCCUUUUUAUAUUUUCUACAACAGAAGACCUACAUUUUGGUGAUAAUAAAAAGUGGUCUCAAGCUGGAAAUCAGCCAACUGACACUUACCCAGAGCUGUUGUAUGCCAGGCACAGGGGAGAAACAAAGAUGGCCUUUUGGAUCAUGGACCUCACAGUCCCAGAUACCAACAAAAACACUCCUUGACAUCUGAGUUCUGUGGACACACUGCUUGGAUUCAGAUCUUGACUCUGUCAUUCGUUAGGUGAGUAAUCUUUGCCAAAUUAUUUAACUUCUGUGAGCUUCAGUUUCCACAUCUCUAAAAUGGAAGUAGAAAUAGGAAACUUGUAAGGAUGAUGUAAACUAGCAUUUCAAGUGCCUACAAGA
RNAcentral lists this long non-coding RNA (571 nucleotides) under Mustela putorius furo (domestic ferret). RNAcentral's name for it is "lncRNA (ENSMPUG00000031411.1)". The record is from RNAcentral. Lineage: Eukaryota; Metazoa; Chordata; Mammalia; Carnivora; Mustelidae.